Panicum virgatum (switchgrass) is the source of this 1339-nucleotide long non-coding RNA. RefSeq lists it as uncharacterized. Lineage: Eukaryota; Viridiplantae; Streptophyta; Magnoliopsida; Poales; Poaceae. The transcript has 2 exons. The record is from RefSeq and is a predicted model, not a curated record.
CGCCCCCGCCGCCCAUACCCCGUGCUUCGCCGCGCCGCCGCCGCAUCCCUGACCCUUGCCCCUCGCGCCAGCGCUCUCGCCUCCCCCUCUCGCUCGCCAAUGCCGCCACUCCGACAUCCCCCUCGCGCCGCUCUCGCCUCACUCUAGCGCUCGCCGUCACCACCGCUCCGUUGUCCCCUCGCGCAACCCUCGCUACACCACACACGCCGCUGGCCCGUAGCUCCCAGCCUGUAGCCGCCCCUGACCCAUGUCUCGGUCGACCGCUAGCCCCUCCGCUGCUGUGCCCGCCAUCUGCGCCCCCGGACCCGCGCUCCCGGCCCACGCCCAGCGCCCGCCGCCGCCCAGUGCCAUCCGCGCCCCAGGGCCUCGGACCCGCGCCGCCGGCCGGUGGCGGUCACCGGACGCUACGCCGAGGAAGCAAGGCUGUAGGCAGGCACGGAGCUGCGGGGGGCCGAGCAGGUGAGGAGGCCGCGAGCCGCAGUUGGAGGCGAGAAGAGGUGCAGUCGGCACGGACUCGUGAGCUACGUGCGGAGACGAGGAGCUCGUGUGCCCACCGGCGGUCUGGCACUCGUCGCGCAGGAGCGUAGUGGAUGAACUCGGCGUGGCCACCGGACGUCGGGCGCGGAGCACGGCGUAGCGGCCUGCGGAGCUUGCCGCUGCCUGUACAGGCAGGCACCAGCGCUCGUGGCCCGCGAGGUGCGUGGGGGAUGGGAGCAGUAGGGCCGACCAGCACGCCCCCAACCAGCAUCAUCAGCGCCCCAGCCCCCCGCCCUCACGCUUGCCGACCCCAGCCGCCCAACACCACCGCCGAGGCGGGUCGGCUGCAGGCAUCUGCCAGUGAUGUAUUCCUCCCCGCCGAGCAUGCCAGUGAUGCCAUCCUGCCCCUCCCCGCCCGCAACACCGACCCCAGCGCUGCCUGGUGGAGGGAAUUCUUCAACACCUCGCCCAACAGUGUCAAGUAUGCCGAUGAGGAGUGGCUUCAGAUGUGCUGGGAACUCCUCUGUGGUUUGUUCAUCCCACCUGCCAUCGGUUAAUAUAUUGUUCAAUCACAGGUACUAAAUGUUUUGUGAAGUGAAUUUCAUCAAACCUCCUGAUAUUAUUUGAAGAACUACUGGGCAGCUGCGCAAACCUUUCUAUGGCUGUGUUGAAGAUAGUACUCUCCUCUGUGGUGCAACAAUAGUUGUCAUAAAGGUCAUCAAGCAAUGACGCUAACAGGGUGAACUUUGUCACCACUAUCCGCGAAUAUGAGUAAUAGGGCUCAUAAAUUGUUCCGAGAAUCCAAAAAUGUAUCUCCACCAUUCUGUCUCGUGCGAAGCUAAGGUCUGUCUUUGAGUGUAAA